RNAcentral lists this transfer RNA (68 nucleotides) under Marmota marmota marmota (Alpine marmot). It matches the Rfam family "tRNA". From Rfam's summary of the family: Transfer RNA (tRNA) molecules are approximately 80 nucleotides in length. Their secondary structure includes four short double-helical elements and three loops (D, anti-codon, and T loops). Lineage: Eukaryota; Metazoa; Chordata; Mammalia; Rodentia; Sciuridae. The record is from Rfam by way of RNAcentral. RNAcentral also lists the same sequence under 1 other name.
GUGGUGGCUCAGUGGUAGAGCGCUUGUCUAGCACAUGUGAGGCCCUGGGUUCGAUCCCCAGCACCACA